RNAcentral lists this long non-coding RNA (1679 nucleotides) under Penaeus japonicus. RNAcentral describes it as "uncharacterized LOC122256275". The record is from RNAcentral. Lineage: Eukaryota; Metazoa; Arthropoda; Malacostraca; Decapoda; Penaeidae.
GAGAGAGAGAGUUCAGUAGACGUCUGAUAUUGAAAGAGAAUAAUACGUGUCAGUCUUGUCCGUGAAUGUCUGACUUGUGAAGCGAAUGAGAUAACCACAGAAGCCGCUGUGAUACGAACAUAGAUCACAACUCGAUCUAAAAGAACUCAGACAAGUGUCGGGUUUGUUGGUGUAGACAGAUAAGGAACGCGUGUGUUUUUUGUGGUAUGUGUGUUUUCGUUUUAGUUGUGGAUUAUCAAUUCGGAGAAAGUUGUUGGUGUGACUUGUGAACUUGGUGAAGGAGAGGAAUAAAGAAGUGAUGUAAUGAUGUGAUAAGUUUUGCGUUCGUAGAGGUAAAGGUGAAAUAAAAAAACAAAAGUGAGAAUAAGCAGCCAGUGUGUGGAAAUAAACUAAAUUAGAAAGUGUGAACAAUUAGUGAAAUACGAAAGUGGAAACAUAACCAUGAAAAAGACGCUAACCUGACAGAAAAAAUAAACAAACAAACAAAAAAACAAAACAAAACAGGAACCCGAAAUGAAACAAGAGGCGCAAUAAUGCCAAUAAAAGACAAAUAGCCAUAGAUCGAGACGUAACAACAAUAGCCAUUAAAUGCGUCAGUGACAGGGUGAUCAUUCAAACUCGAGGCGGAAAACAAGCCUUACGCAAGGAAGAGGCAAGGCUGAAAAUGCACUGCACGCCGUUAUAGGCAAAGCCCGAGGAGUUCGAAGUGAUGUCUGGUGUCGGUUUACGCCGAUGGAAGCGCCCUCUCGGUGGCACUGUCGGCAGCGCUAUCAACAAAGAUAGUAGAAGCAACUGCAGGAUGGGGGGCCCGGUGCAGUGCCUGCUGCUGCACCUCCUACUCAUGUUCCUUCUGCUGGGCGCUCUCCCUGCUGCGAGUGCCGAAGAUGAGAUAACCACAGAAGCCGCUGUGAUACGAACAUAGAUCACAACUCGAUCUAAAAGAACUCAGACAAGUGUCGGGUUUGUUGGUGGAGACAGAUAAGGAACGCGUAUUUUUUUUGUGGUAUGUGUGUUUUGGUUUUAGUUGUGGAUUAUCAAUUCGGAGAAAGUUGUUGGUGUGACUUGUGAACUUGGUGAAGGAGAGGAAUAAAGAAGUGAUGUAAUGAUGUGAUAAGUUUUGCGUUCGUAGAGGAAAAGGUGAAAUAAAAAAACAAAAGUGAGAAUAAGCAACCAGUGUGUGGAAAUAAACUAAAUUAGAAAGUGUGAACAAUUAGUGAAAUACGAAAGUGGAAACAUAACCAUGAAAAAGACGCUAACCUGACAGAAAAAAUAAACAAACAAACAAAAAAACAAAACAAAACAGGAACCCGAAAUGAAACAAGAGGCGCAAUAAUGCCAAUAAAAGACAAAUAGCCAUAGAUCGAGACGUAACAACAAUAGCCAUUAAAUGCGUCAGUGACAGGGUGAUCAUUCAAACUCGAGGCGGAAAACAAGCCUUACGCAAGGAAGAGGCAAGGCUGAAAAUGCACUGCACGCCGUUAUAGGCAAAGCCCGAGGAGUUCGAAGUGAUGUCUGGUGUCGGUUUACGCCGAUGGAAGCGCCCUCUCGGUGGCACUGUCGGCAGCACUAUCAACAAAGAUAGUAGAAGCAACUGCAGGAUGGGGGGCCCGGUGCAGUGCCUGCUACUGCACCUCCUACUCAUGUUCCUUCUGCUGGGCGCUCUCCCUGCUGCGAGUGCC